RNAcentral lists this long non-coding RNA (1421 nucleotides) under Marmota monax (woodchuck). The record is from RNAcentral. Lineage: Eukaryota; Metazoa; Chordata; Mammalia; Rodentia; Sciuridae.
GUUCUUUUCUGCAUUUUGUAGUCCAGUAUUUAAUUUAUUUAUUUAAUUAGGUAUAUAUGACAGCAGAAUGCAUUUUGAUCCAUUGUACACAAUUGCAGCACUACUUUUCAUUUCUCUGAUUGUACACAAUGUAGCAUCACACCAUAUGUGCAGUCACACAUGUAACUAGGUAAUGUACCUAGGGUAAUGAUGUCCAUCUCAUUUCACCAUCUUUCUUGUUCCCCUGCACCCUCCCUAGCCUCCUUCCCCUUUGCCCAAUCAAAGUUCCUCCAUUUUUCCCAUGCUUCCCCCUUCCCAAUGCAUCAGCAUCCACUUAUCAGAGAGAACAUUUGGCCUUUGGUUUUUUGGGAUUGGUUUACUUUGCUUAGCAUAAUAUUCUCCAACUCCAUCCAUUUACCUAAAAUGCCAUAAUUUUAUUCUUUUUUAAUGCUGAGUCACAUUCCAUUGUGUAUAUAUACCACAGUUUCUUUAUUUUAAAAAUAUCAAAUGUGUUGGGUGAAAUAUGGAGUCUCUUUGCUAUUCUACUUUGAAUGGGUUUGAUUAGGACUGAGGUGGAAUAUGAUUCAUACGUUUGUUAGUCACCUGUAUUUUUUUUUUUUUUGCCAAUUGUUUCUUAUUGCUCAUUUUAAGAUCAGAGGUUCUUUAUUAGAAUUAUAAAUUGUGAAAGAGCUUUGAUAAAAGAAAAAGGAGCAAGAAAGAGUAGCAGAGGAGAACAGUAAAAAUGAUUCAGAACUUGGGGCUGAGGUUGUGGCUCGGUGGUAGAGUGUUCACCUAGCAUGCAUUAGGCGCUGGGAUCUAUCCUUAGCACCACAUAUAAAUGUAAAAUAAAGAUAUUGUGUCUACCUAAAACUAACAAAUAAAUAAAUGUUAAAAAAUAAGAAACUGAAGGAGUUUUUUUAAAAAAAUAAAAAUGAUUCAGUACUUAAAAACAUUCAUUGAAAGUUUUUUAUUCAUUCAACAAAUUUUAAGUGCUUACUACAAGUCAGGUAUUGGAGCUAGAGAUAAAUAAGUAAGAGCUACUUCCCUAAAUGCUACCUUAAAUGCAAAAUGUUGCAAAGCCCUAUUUUUUUUUUCAUUAGUACAUAUUACUGCCCUACAUACUCAUGCAUAUCUAUUUUCUGUUUCCCUUCUGCUUCCCCCUUUUUUUUUCAUGUUAGAAAAUCUUCACCCCCCAAAAAAAAGUCUUCACAGAAGAGACUUAGCUUCUUUUGUUAAUUGCUCUAUCCCUGGGGCUAAGAACAGUGCUAGGCACUUAAUAAAUAUUUGUGGAGUGGUUAAAUAAAAGAUCUUUUUGGUUCUGGUAACUUUGACUCACUGGAUUACCCGGUAAUGGGAAUUAGGUUGAAAUUGCCUGAUAUAAUCAGGGUAGUAAGAAACAUUCCAUUUCUUUCAACCCUAUCAUUUCGUCAGUAUGGUUUGGG